UACGUAGGGGGCAAGCGUUAUCCGGAUUUACUGGGUGUAAAGGGAGCGUAGGCGGUCUGACAAGUCAGAAGUGAAAGCCCGGGGCUCAACCUCGGGACUGCUUUUGAAACUGCCGGACUAGAUUGCAGGAGAGGUAAGUGGAAUUCCUAGUGUAGCGGUGAAAUGCGUAGAUAUUAGGAGGAACACCAGUGGCGAAGGCGGCUUACUGGACUGUAAAUGACGCUGAGGCUCGAAAGCGUGGGGAGCAAACAGG
RNAcentral lists this ribosomal RNA (253 nucleotides) under Cuneatibacter caecimuris. RNAcentral describes it as "partial 16S ribosomal RNA". It matches the Rfam family "Bacterial small subunit ribosomal RNA", at positions 524 to 776 of the family's 1533-position model. RNAcentral also lists the same sequence under 1 other name. Lineage: Bacteria; Bacillati; Bacillota; Clostridia; Lachnospirales; Lachnospiraceae. The record is from RNAcentral.